Long non-coding RNA from Salvelinus fontinalis (brook trout), 1531 nucleotides. RefSeq lists it as uncharacterized. The transcript has 2 exons. Lineage: Eukaryota; Metazoa; Chordata; Actinopteri; Salmoniformes; Salmonidae. The record is from RefSeq and is a predicted model, not a curated record.
AUGCUACAGAUUUUGCCAUCAACAGCCAUCAAUAUCGAAAUAAAUUAUGCUCAACUGGGACCACUGGCGGAUUGGAGACAACACAAUGCAAGGAGAGUACGAUUUCCAUCUGUUACAUGUAUGCAACAAGGCAGUAAAGUAAUACUGAAGAAAAAAAAAACAUGGCAAAGGAAUACUCUUUUUGGCCUAAAUGCAAAGCCUUAUGUUUAGAGCAAAUCCAACACAACACAUCACUGAAUAGCUGCCUUCGUAUUUUCAAGCAUGGUGGUGGCUGCAUCAUGGUAUGAGGGUAGCCUAGUGGUUAGAGUGUUGGGCCAGUAACCGAAAGGUUGCUGGAUUGAAUCCCUGAGCUGACAAGGUAAACCUCUGUUGUUCUGCCCCUGAACAAAGCAGUUAACCCCUGUUCCCCUUUAGGCUGUCAUUGUAAAUAAGACUUUUUUCUUAACUGACUUGCCUAGUUAAAUAAAAUAAAAAAAUGCUUUACGUUGACAAAGACUGGGGUGUUUUUCAGGAUGAAAAGAAAUUGGAUGCAGCUAAUCACAGCCAAAAUCCUAGAGGAAAACCACAGCAAUUGACCUUUCAGCAGGACAAUAACCUACAACAUCAAGCCAAAUCUACACUGGAGUUGCUUACUAAGAAGACAGUCAAUGUUCCUGAGCGGCCAAGUUACAGUUUUGACUUAAAUCUGCUUGUCAAGGUUGUGCGCUACUGGUGUAGAAGUCAGGUGCAGGAGAGCAAAAAGUUGUGAUCCGGCGCACACUUUAUUAGGCAGAAGCAAACAACAGCCGGACGCAACUGCGUCAAACAAAUCUCCAGCCAAAACGAAAGUGUAAAGCGCGACAAAGUCACAAUGAAGGAAAAGAGUUUAACAAUAAACAUACUACGGGUGAAAUACGGUACCCGGGAAACACCGGCCUGGCGUGUCACACAAAAACACGUAACAAAUAACAAUUCCACACAAAGACAUGGGGGGAACAGAGGGAAUAUAUAUGUAGUGUGAUUAGGGAAUGUAAACCAGGUGUGCGGGGAAACAAGACAAAACAAAUGGAACAAUAAACAGUGGAGCGGCGAUGGCUAGAAGACCGGUGACGCCGAACGCCGCCCGAACAAGGAGAGGAGCCGACUUCGGCGGAAGUCGUGACACUGCUUGAAAAUCUAAGACUUGAAAAUGGCUGUCUAGCCAUGAUUCCCUACACCUUGACAGAGCUUGAAGAAUUUUGAAAAGAAUAAUGGGCCAAUACUGCACAAUACAGGUGUGCAAAGUUCUUCUGAGACUUACCCAAGAAGACUCACAUCUGUAAUCACUGCCAAAGGUGUUUCUAACAUGUAUUGAAUCAGAGGGUUGAAUACUUAUCUAAUCAAGGUAUAUUAGUGUUAUAUUUAGUAUUUAGUAUUCUUGACAUUGUCUUUCACUUUGACAUAACAGAGUAUUUUGUGUAGAUUGUUGACAAAAAAAGACAAUUAAAUCCAUUUCAAUCCCACUUUGUAACACAAUAAAAUGUGAAGAAAUAAAAAAAGACAAUUAAAUCCA